GCCUUCGUGGUGUAAUGGUCAGCACGCUGAGCUGGUAUUUCAGAGGUCCGUGGUUCGAUUCCCGGCGAAGGAA
Molecule: non-coding RNA, 73 nt
Organism: Stegodyphus mimosarum
Lineage: Eukaryota; Metazoa; Arthropoda; Arachnida; Araneae; Eresidae
Source: Rfam